GUAGCUCCGGGGGCCCCUAUAUAUCUGCCUAUCUGGACUAGAUACUUGCCUCUAGGAUUGAUCUCAACGUCGCCACAAGCCCACAAGACCAAAGGUUAACGCGCAGGAGCGACGAGAUUUUACCAUCCAAUCUUAACCUAGACCCGCGGUCGCCGCCAUGGCUAGGCCGCAGCAGAAGGUCGUCACCGUUCUGCUAUUGCUCCUCUGUGCCGCCUCCGCCAUAGUAGAAUCAAGUAAGUAGCACGCGCCACGCCUCACGAGUUCAAAUUGGAUCUCUUGUAAAUAAGAAAAAAUACACACACACAAGUCGGUCAUCAUUUGGUUUGUUCAUCAUCAGUUGCAUGCGUAUGUUAUCGCAUUACAUUACUUAGGAGACUCCAGUGAUCAUGCAUGUGUGUUUCAGAUUUUUAUCCCUGGUGAUGAGAAGAACCUUUUUUUCAAGAUUGCACAUGAAUCUGAAGACUUCAACUUCGUUAAUUAACCUACCUAAUAAUGCAUGUGUUGUGUGAUUCUGCCCCCCGUUGCUGCAGAUGGUUUCACGUUCACGGUGGAUUUCCCCGAAAGGGUGUUCCGCGAGCUGUCGCGCCAGCGCCACGCCGCGGCCGCUCAGCCCGCUGCUGGCCCGUCGAUCUCGCCCGCGCACCCGCCUUCUGGCUCGGCGCCCGCUCCG
RNAcentral lists this long non-coding RNA (670 nucleotides) under Sorghum bicolor (sorghum). RNAcentral describes it as "long non-coding RNA (SBIC_LNC001733)". The record is from RNAcentral. Lineage: Eukaryota; Viridiplantae; Streptophyta; Magnoliopsida; Poales; Poaceae.